Molecule: long non-coding RNA, 1660 nt
Organism: Salmo salar (Atlantic salmon)
Lineage: Eukaryota; Metazoa; Chordata; Actinopteri; Salmoniformes; Salmonidae
Source: RefSeq, a predicted model, not a curated record
UGUGCUGUCGUUUGCCAGCAAGGGAGGAUGCUACAAUAUAUAGAGACUCUCUCUAUUCGUUAGGAGUGGUUCAUGGUUUUGGGACUCUGUGGUCACAAAGGGGCACGUUAACUGCGACAGGAACACCAAUUAAAUCUGGACACGAAGUAGAGGCAUUUCUAGAAGUGUGUCUAUUACCCAGUAGACUAGCUGUGGUAAAAUGUGAAGCUCACACCGGUCGUACUGAUAAGAUAGCAGUAGGGAAUUUCCGAGCAGAUGAGGCGGCUAAAGCGGAGCCACAAUCUAAAACAGAAGAUGCGACCAAACUGCAUGUAAAUCGUGUAAAUACUAAAGCUGGGAUUCUCAGCAAACUCCCACCAAACAGCUACCACCACCAGACGGAUCCUUUACAUCAUUGCAGAUGGACUUUAUAUGGCCACUUCCUCAAAGUAGGGGUAAGACACACGCACAGUGUAUUCACAGGUAAAAUUAACACACAAGGAACGGACCCCAGGAGAUAACCACAAGCACAGCCUGAGUCUGGGGGACUGAGUGUACAUCAAGGUCCACCAAGCCGGUGUUCGGACAAUGCUGGUCCGGGCCCCACACAGUACUACUCACCACGCAUACAGCAGUGAAAACUACAACCUCUCCUCGGUGGGUCCAUAUUUCUCAUGUGAAAUGAGAUCCGGCUGACUAAGGGAAACCACACACACACACACAGUAUUGAACAUAAGUUGCCAACAUCAUAACUGGACAUAUUCAGUGCUGAAGAUUGAGGACAGCUUUUGUAUGCUAGAAAUAUACUGUUUGGAGAGGGAGUAGGGAGGAUAAGGGAGUGGGGAGGUGGGUAAAAUAUUGCCAAUAAAAUUGCAUAAUGGGACUGAAUUGAUUUAUAUGCAAAGUGUAUGUUCAAUUACAAAAAAAGGGGUUUUGGACUCCAGACUGAGACUCAUCAAAACGAAGAGCAGAGCCAGGAGGGGUGAGGACUUCCGGCUACCGCAGACCUACUGCACCUCACCCACUAUAGGUCUGCCUACAUCCCCACCAGCAUCUUCAGAGGGACCUGGGACUUCGUUGGUGGGCAAGGGGACCUCAGAUUCAGGGUUCUCAAUGGCCACAUGGUUGGGGGGAAGCUCAUCACUGUCACUGUCAGAAUCUGAUUCCUCACAGUCAUUCUCAGAGUCAUUCUCAGAAUUCCAGAAUUUUUGCAUUUGUGAGUUGUCUCCGUUUGAAAGACAUUGCUAAUGCUACAGCUUAGCCCACUAACUACAUACAUAAACAACAACAAUUAAUGGCUCCAAGUGAGUGUCAGGGGUGACAUGAUUGGCUGCCGGUGUGGUGAUACUGAUGAUUUGUCUCCACAGAUGGUUUGUUCACAUAACAGUUUAGGAUAAUUAACGUGGCAGGUUAGGAGAACUAAUGCAGCAGGUUAGGUGAAUUAACGUAGGAGGUUACAAGAAUGAGGUUAAGGUAAGGAAAAAGGUUAGGCUUACCUCCAAUGCUACAGUUGUCAACAACUGUGUUCCCUGACGCGACCACUGCGGAGAGCUGUUGUAGGCCUAGCUACUCCAUCUAGCCACAACGGUAGAAACGUAAACAAACUAUCUGUGGUGAAAAAUCAUCAGUAUCAUAACACCGACACAUGCCAAUUGUUUCAAUAAAUCUCUAUCAGAAAAUG